Molecule: long non-coding RNA, 132 nt
Organism: Dendronephthya gigantea
Lineage: Eukaryota; Metazoa; Cnidaria; Anthozoa; Malacalcyonacea; Nephtheidae
Exons: 3
Source: RefSeq, a predicted model, not a curated record
GAAUACGUCUGGGUAGCUGGUUUGCCGUCUUCUAGAAAACGUCUUUCUAAAAUGGCUAUGCAAUCAGUUGAGAAGGAUAAACCUUCACGCAGGAAGACUCAAAGAGUUCAACUCAGCGUGGUCAAGUGUGGU